CAGUCGCCACGGGAAUACAGAGGGUGCGAGCGUUAAUCGGAUUUACUGGGCGUAAAGCGUGCGUAGGCGGCUUUUUAAGUCGGAUGUGAAAUCCCUGAGCUUAACUUAGGAAUUGCAUUCGAUACUGGGAAGCUAGAGUAUGGGAGAGGAUGGUAGAAUUCCAGGUGUAGCGGUGAAAUGCGUAGAGAUCUGGAGGAAUACCGGUGGCGAAGGCGGCCCCCUGGACAAAGACUGACGCUCAGGUGCGAAAGCGUGGGGAGCAAACAGGAUUAGAUACCCGAGUAGUCCCUGUCUCUUAUAC
RNAcentral lists this ribosomal RNA (301 nucleotides) under uncultured bacterium. Its description in RNAcentral is "partial 16S ribosomal RNA". It matches the Rfam family "Bacterial small subunit ribosomal RNA", at positions 509 to 807 of the family's 1533-position model. The record is from RNAcentral.